This 492-nucleotide ribosomal RNA is filed under the name uncultured bacterium. RNAcentral describes it as "partial 16S ribosomal RNA". It matches the Rfam family "Bacterial small subunit ribosomal RNA", at positions 29 to 507 of the family's 1533-position model. The record is from RNAcentral.
AGUGAACGCUGGCGGUAGGCCUAACACAUGCAAGUCGAACGGCAGCACAGUAAGAGCUUGCUCUUACGGGUGGCGAGUGGCGGACGGGUGAGGAAUACAUCGGAAUCUACUUUUUCGUGGGGGAUAACGUAGGGAAACUUACGCUAAUACCACAUACGACCUACGGGUGAAAGCAGGGGAUCUUCGGACCUUGCGCGAUUGAAUGAGCCGAUGUCGGAUUAGCUAGUUGGCGGGGUAAAGGCCCACCAAGGCGACGAUCCGUAGCUGGUCUGGGAGGAUGAUCAGCCACACUGGAACUGAGACACGGUCCAGACUCAGACGGGAGGCAGCAGUGGGGAUUAUGGGAAAAUGGGCGCAAGCCUGAUCCAGCCAUACCGCGUGGGUGAAGAAGGACUUCGGGUUGUAAAGCCUUUUUGUUGUGAAAGAAAAGCAGCAGGUUAAUACCGCGCUGUUCUGACGGUACCCAAAGAAUAAGCACCGGCUAACUUCGUG